This 370-nucleotide ribosomal RNA is filed under the name uncultured organism. RNAcentral describes it as "bacterial SSU rRNA". It matches the Rfam family "Bacterial small subunit ribosomal RNA", at positions 526 to 896 of the family's 1533-position model. The record is from RNAcentral.
CGUAGGCAGCAAGCGUUGUUCGGAGUUACUGGGCGUAAAGAGUACGUAGGCGGUUUGCUAAGUCUGGUGUGAAAUCUCCUGGCUUAACUGGGAGGGUGCGCUAGAUACUGGCAGGCUUGAGUAUGGGAGAGGAGAGUGGAAUUCCUGGUGUAGCGGUGAAAUGCGUAGAUAUCAGGAGGAACGCCGGUGGUGUAGACGGCUCUCUGGACCAUUACUGACGCUGAGGUACGAAAGCGUGGGUAGCAAACAGGAUUAGAUACCCUGGUAGUCCACGCCCUAAACGAUGCGGACUUGGUGUAGGCAGUUCAGUCUGUCUGUGCCGGAGCUAACGCGUUAAGUCCGCCGCCUGGGGAGUACGGUCGCAAGGCUG